CUCUGUUUCUCGUCUUCCUUUCUAUACAAAGCAGCUGGUCCCUGCAGAUUAACAGGGCCCAGCUGCAUCUGGUCUCCAGCCACUUAACCCCUUCUGAGCUGUUUCCUCGCCCUUGCAGAAGAAAACAGGAUUGUCUGCUUUCCAGAAGCCUCCUGGGGCUUGAAGUAAGAGCAUCCCUACUAGCAAAGAUAGUGUGGGUUUUAAAUCAGGGAGAAAAAAGCUUGCUACACUCUGAAAAGAUUUUUAUUUCAUGUAAUAAGCCCCAUGCUUUACAGAGUUUAAAAGCAAGGGCAUGAGAGAAUUAAGCAGACUUGGAAACAGUAAUGUCAUACCCCAGUGUACUAAGGAUUUAUGGAUGUUAUUUUAUAACUUGUUGAGUUUGAUGUGGAAUGAUCUCUGCUCUGUAACUACAGUAAUUAUUUCGUAAAGUACUCUAUUGUUAUGCUGUCACCCAUUAAGCAUGCUGCGUAGUGGUUAAAAAGUAUUUAGACAGAUUGCACACCUGUAUGAAAUUCUUCCAGACUUUCCAGAGGGGAUGGGAGUCUGCAUUCACAAGGGUUUCUUCUUACAGCUUGUGGAAUCCUCAGAAACAUGAGUAGCUUUCAGCUCCUGUUCCCACCAAAGAAUUUCCUCUUUGGAAGGCUGCUAUACCCUUUCCUGGCAAUUCUGGUGUGAGACAGCAAUCUGCAUAAUAUCAGUUGUAUUGCCUUCCAAGUGAGCCAUCUAAAGGACACUCAGGACUCACGUAACUGCAACCAGAGCUGUUCUCCAGCUCCCCGAACAGGCACCCAGACAAGCCUGGACGCCGCCAGUCAUCAUUCCAGACAUGAUGUAGUUUGGUUUUUGCUGUGAUGGAAAGAAACACUUCUCACUGCGUCUGUGUCUCCUCCUUCCAAUGACUGGAGGAACUAAGGCCAUCCAAAAGCACGAAGCAAGAUCUUGCGGCUUAGCCCAGCCAUUAAGGCUUUUUGAAAUCUCGGUAGGUGCAGAGAAAUAGCCCACUGCUCUAGCCCACCUCGAGUGCAUCCGGUCUCCGGUGGACUUUCCUGUCUUUGACCAAAUCUUAGCAGCUUAACUGUGGGACCCCAGCAGGUCAGCCUGUAUCCUCUGGACCAGAAAGUUUCUUCUAACCUCAUUUGAGCCAGUAUUUUUUCCACAUGAGAGUAAUGAAAUUCAUUUCUUUAUGAUGUGAUUCUGACCCCAGGAAGCCCCAGAGCUACAGGAGACAGAGACAGCUGUUAGUCUAGCAGAAACUGCCAGGUUUGUGAAGACCUUGUGAUGGACUCAGAACAUCAGCAGAAGCAGAGGGCCCAGGGGAAAGACCAGACCUUAGCUGAAGUCAGCCUGAAAGGAGAACAAAGAGAAACAAGGAGAAAGAAGAGUUAAAGAGAAGAGAAAACAGCUAAAAGUCUAACUCUGAGCCAAGGAGAUCAGCUGGAGAGUUGCUUGUUUGCACAGGGUGAUAGCUGAGCUGGAUUAGGGCUGGACUGAAUCAAACGUGAGGCAGGAGAUUAUGGAAGGAUCCAGUUAAGUUGGGAGGGGAAGAGGCUGAAUAUAGGGAUGUGUCAAGUGACAGAACAUAAACUUUAGAAACUAAGACAAGCAUUCGUAGAAUUCCAGUAUUAAUUGUCAUAUUGACUCCUUUUCUUUCUGUGGUGCUUAUAACUGCAUUAGCAGAUUAACGUAUGAUAUUGCCUGAGUGCAGAGUAUGGAUUUUUUGCAUAAAGCAGGAUGGAAUCAGAUUUGGGGGGGGCAGGAGUGGCAUCAGAAAUUCCAGUCCAAGUAAUCUACUUUUAUUCCUGAUCACUAAAAAAGAUGAUAAUAAUAAUAAUAAUAAUAAUUCUAGAGUCAGUGCAAUAUCUACCCACUGAUGCCCUGCAACACAAUAGAUGUCACUCCCAGUGCAGCCUAGGGUGAAGCUGCCUGCUGCUUCCUCUCUAGGCUCAUCACCUCCCAGUCCUUAUUCAUUUUCCAUCCUGUAAUAUUCAGAUCAAAGCAUUCUUGCCAUACUGGCAUUUUUCAAUGCAUAAAGCUUUUUUUUUUUUUUUUUUUUUUUUUUUUUCUUUUCUUCCUUUUUUUUUUAAAAAAAAAAAAAAAAAAGGUUAAUAGUUGAAGGUCGCCCUCCCUGGUCUCUCACCACCUCGCCUGCUCAGGACAAGCGCUCGCUGCAGCUGGCACGGGGCCGGCAGCAGAUGCACAGGGCUGGGUGCUGCCAUUGGGGUGCACCUGUUGGCUUGCCACCAUCUGCUAGCCAAAAACGGGACAAAGCCCCACCCCAUGCCGGCCAGCUGAAGAGGGCUUAAUCUCCUCCCCAUGGGUUUUGAGCCGGUGGCCGUGGCACACGCCAUACAAAGGCGUGGACCUGCACCUAAUCUCCAAUCCUUGCAGGGGGCUGCUUCUCAUGCUGACAAGAAAGGGCUCUUUAAAUAAAUCCAGAGAGCUAUUACCUGACAAGAAAGCCUCUUAUAAACUGCCUUUUAAAAAUUAUUAUUUAAAAAGAGAGAAAGGUAUUAGGUUAACAUGGAUACUAAUAUUAAGUAAAUUAAGCCGCGGCAGUAUUUUUUUUGGAGGCUGCUGCUGCUCCUUGCUAAAGGGGUGACUUGUAAGCUGAAUAGCUCAAAUGCUUGCUUUGGAAACCGUAGGCUUGGUUUAGUGCAUGCCAUGGCUGUGCCCUAUAAUUACCUAACCAGUCCCUGUGAAUCUGAGCUGCCAAGGCAUCACUGCUAUACAAAAAAAAUCAUGCUUUGGGAAGCUGGUCACCCAGGUAGGUUAAAAUUAUCAAGUUUCCUGCAUUAAAAAAAAAAAAAAAUAAUGUUUAAGCAGGAUUUAUACAAAAAGUAAAGGGAGUUUCAGAAACUGCCUAUUCAAAUUUCAAAGCUAGCCUGCGUGAAAUACUGCAGACACUAGGACAUGACCGACACUGUUUUAGUGUUUAACCUGUAAAGAGUUUUCUAACAUUCAGCUUAACAAUAGGGAAUAGGAUGGAUGCAAAGAAAACCUGCUACCACUGAACCUUGUGCUGAGCCCUUGUUUUGAAAUACACCCAGUUUUGUCCAAGUGCAGGAGCAACAGACUCGACAACUCAGCUGCUGUCUUUUUUAUCAGGCGUGAAUGCAAGAUCCCUCUGUUUCUGAGACCUUGAGCACAGAUACUUCAUUACAUCAGCAUCCUGCACUGUUUGCAUUUUUCAUCUACCUGUGCAUUUAAGCCAGAUAGGUACACCAGGAGCUCUCAUAGACAGAGGUUUGUCUUUGCUAUCAGUCAUUGUUCUACAGUGACACUCCAAUCUUAAUUUAUUUUCUGUCGUAUGCAUCAAGUACAUUAAAAAGAAUAACAGCAAAUAAAAUUAUAACAACAAUCUUUUAAGAGCUGCUCGCCACCCCCAAGCACUGCAGCUAGGGUAAAUAAUUUUAGUAGGAAAUAUUUUUUCCAAGGAAAAUACUGGAAGUUUCAUUAUUUGAAAUAUUUUAAUUUAGACUUGAUAAAGCAAUGGUGAAUAUACAGCGGGGUAAUGAUCUUACAUCCAGAGGGAUUACGACUUUUCUAUCUCUAAAUUUGCAGAAGCUAUCUGAAGGCAAACAUUGACUAGGAAUGUAUUAAAUUACCGUGAGCAAUCCAAAUUUUUUAAGAAAGUUAAAUAUUAAAAUAUAUAAAUAAAUUACAAGUUUUCCCUUUAAAAUAUGCACGAGGUAAUUCAGAGCAAAUGUUAGAACAAGUCCGUCUGCUAAAUUAGUCACAAGGUACUAGUGGCUACUUUUCCAUUUACGCUAAUGAUGAGAAAUGUAAAAGGCCGGCUUCAUAAUUCAGUGUUCAUUUCAAGAGGUUCCAAGAACACUUAUGCUAGAUGGGUCUGUCUAGCUAAUCAGCCAGUUUCUUCUCUCCUUUUAAGAUCGAAACACAAUUAUAGAACCUGUACUUCCAAUCUUUGCAUUUUUCCCCCCUGCACUAAAAUGUAUUUCAAUGUAAGGAAUGCUGGAGGAUGAUAGAGUUGAAUUAACACCCUUAAACUAAGCAUAUUGCAUUCUCUUAAAUCAAUGGUUUCACUUCUGCCCUCAAGCAAUAUGUGAUUUGUAAAUCUGAGACAUGCUACCUUUAGGCAGUAGGCACUCUCUUUAAAAACACGAAAGUAGGCAACAUAUGGUGGCACUAUGCAAUAUGAAAUUGUUCUAAAGAUACAAGUUUUCAGCCUCAGUGGUACAAGCCCAAUUUUAAA
Molecule: non-coding RNA, 4213 nt
Organism: Anas platyrhynchos (mallard)
Lineage: Eukaryota; Metazoa; Chordata; Aves; Anseriformes; Anatidae
Source: RefSeq, a predicted model, not a curated record